GAUGAACGCUGGCGGCGUGCUUAACACAUGCAAGUCGAACGGAAAGGCCCAAGCUUGCUUGGGUACUCGAGUGGCGAACGGGUGAGUAACACGUGGGUGAUCUGCCCUGCACUUCGGGAUAAGCCUGGGAAACUGGGUCUGAUACCGGAUAGGACGAUGGUUUGGAUGCCAUUGUGGAAAGUUUUUUCGGUGUGGGAUGAGCUCGCGGCCUAUCAGCUUGUUGGUGGGGUAAUGGCCUACCAAGGCGUCGACGGGUAGCCGGCCUGAGAGGGUGUACGGCCACAUUGGGGCUGAGAUACGGCCCAGACUCCUACGGGAGGCAGCAGUGGGGAAUAUUGCACAAUGGGCGCAAGCCUGAUGCAGCGACGCCGCGUGGGGGAUGACGGCCUUCGGGUUGUAAACUCCUUUCGCUAGGGACGAAGCGUUUUUGUGACGGUACCUGGAGAAGAAGCACCGGCUAACUACGUG
Molecule: ribosomal RNA, 468 nt
Filed under: uncultured bacterium
Lineage: Bacteria
Description: partial 16S ribosomal RNA
Rfam family: Bacterial small subunit ribosomal RNA
Source: RNAcentral